AUCGCUUAAUCUUUUGGCUAAGAUCAAGUGUAGUAUUUUCUUAUCAGUUUAAUAUCUGAUAUGUCCUCUAUCUGAGGACAAUAUAUUGCAUGGAUUUUUGAACUAGAAGAUGGAAUAGGAGCUUGAUCCAUCCACUAUACGCAUCCACCUGGUAUUGCAGUACAUCCAGGAACAGUGCACCCCCU
Molecule: small nuclear RNA, 185 nt
Organism: Molossus molossus (Pallas's mastiff bat)
Lineage: Eukaryota; Metazoa; Chordata; Mammalia; Chiroptera; Molossidae
Product: U2 spliceosomal RNA
Exons: 1
Source: RefSeq, a predicted model, not a curated record